Molecule: long non-coding RNA, 2046 nt
Filed under: Olea europaea subsp. europaea
Lineage: Eukaryota; Viridiplantae; Streptophyta; Magnoliopsida; Lamiales; Oleaceae
Source: RNAcentral
AAUUGUCCAUCGAAAUCCUUUCAAGGAUAUUCUAAGAUUUAGUGUUUUUUGCAAUAAACUCCUGCUAUUGAUAUCUGGAGUAUAGGAUGUAUAUUUGCGGUAAUUCUCACGGGCAAACCAUUGUUUCCUGGGAAGAAUGUUGUCCACCAACUGGAUCUCAUAACUGAACUUCUUGGUUCACCUUCUUCUGAAUGCCUUUCCAGGGUAAGUUCCAUCUUUAAUUAGUUAGUUAACUUAUCUUUGAGAAGAUUCUGGUCACAUUAUUAGUUUUCAAAAAUUUGUAUCUCAUGAUAAUUAGCAACAGAUUAUUUCAGAACGUAUGAAAUAAACGAAGCUUAUCAUUUGACAAUUUGACCUUUUUUCUACCUACAGAUUCGAAAUGAGAAGGCACGAAGAUAUUUAAGUAGCGUGAAAAGGAAAGCACCUGUUCCUCUCUCACAAAAGUUUCCAAAUGUUGAUCCACUGGCUCUUCGUUUACUUGAACGUUUGAUAGCAUUUGAUCCCAAAGAUCGUCCAUCUGCUGAAGAGGUGAGAUUUAGUAAAUCAAAUAUGUUGUUUCACAUUUCCUUCAGUUGAUAAAUGCAAUAUCAGUAUUUAGGACGGGUUCAUUGAUACUAUCAAUUAUUUCUAACUGCAGGCAUUGGCAGAUCCAUAUUUUUAUGGUUUGGCAAAUGUCAAAGAUGAAUCAUCAACUCAACCAAUUUCAAAAUUUGAGUUUGAAUUUGAAAGGAGAAAUUUAACAAAAGAUGAUGUAAGAGAGCUAAUCUACAGGGCGGUAUGAACAUUGCUAGUGAUCUUUAGGCCAAUAUGGUAUAUCUGUGUUAGCUGUUAGCUAUUACUUACAUUGUAUCUUAACGAAGCAAACAGAUCUUGGAGUAUCAUCCCCAGAUGCUCCAGGAAUACCUCCGUGGCGUGGACCAGACUCACUUUAUGUAUCCAAGGUUUGACAAUCAAAAGAAUUCUCCUCAACUUCUAGUUUGAUACAAGACAUUUUUGAGACGUUGCUUAAUCAAAUACAACAUAAAUUUUCUGUUCUCAUUUUUCUAAUGUAUCCAUUUAUAACUAAUCAAUAUAUCUUUUUCACCAAAUCUCCAAUACUUUUUCGAUCCAAGCUCCUAAUCACUCUGAUCUUUCUUUUAUGUAUACUUCCACUGAUCUAUCUCUAAAUGAUUUUCUAAUGAUUGAGAUUGGCUUCUUUCCUUGGACUAUGGGUAUUUGACUCUUGGUGGGCUGGAUUGGUAGCUGGGAGCAUCACUUCUCAAGGCAGAAUCUGCAAUUUAGUGCUUGUUUGGAUUGCAUUAUUAAGUUAAUGAAAUGAUAAUGUGAUAGGAGUGAGUAUUUGAUAAGUGGGUAUAGUUGUGGAUCCUACAAAAUGUGUGGUAAAAAUUAAAGUUUGACCCUUAAAUUUAAUGUAAUUAUUAUCAGUCGAAACAAGCACUUGAUUAUGGGAGAAAAAGAGAGGAAUCAUUGGGUCCAAACAUGUUCACUGUUCAGCGUUAAUAUAUUUACAUGAUAUUUGGACCGAAGUGUUUCUUAGAGUACUAGAGACUACUAUAUGAAAGCUGCACAUUGCCCCACUUCAAAUGAUGAUACUAUGGCAUCCAUGUGAAUCAACAAAAGCAUUUUCACUGGUUUAAUUUUUUUUAAAGCUGGUAGUUCUUGCCAACAAUCCAUGAAGGAUGGUAGUUGACAUGUCAUUUUACUUUUAAAGAAACUAACUGAGAUAUCUAAUAUUCUGUGGUGUUAUUAUUUUAAGGAUGAAAUGCACAUUCUAUAUCACAGUUUUUGUGCUUCAGUUUACACUUGGUCUUUUGUAUUAAAUUCGGCAGCAAUGCAAUGAGUUUUGCUUGUUUCAAUAUGAUGUCUUUCACAUUAUGCUGUGUUAUCAUCUGAGUAAGAGACUGCAGAUAAUUAUGGCUUGCUGAAGAAUAUUGACUUAUAUUAUUUCAGUGGAGUUGAUCAAUUUAAGCAACAAUUUGUCCAACUUGAGGAGCAUUCUGGUAAAGUAGAAAGAGCUCCAAUUCGAAGGCGUUAUGCCUCCUUGCC